CCUAAAUUUAGUUUUCCUUGACCGCAUCAGAUAGAAAGUAGGAGGGCUUGUUUUAAGUGGGAUUUGAUCUUAAAGAGCUAGAAUAUGAAGAGCAGGUGGUUGGAAAUCUGUUGAGUAAAGAAAUCGGGAUUGGGAGAGAAGUUUGUAUAAUUAAUUUGUUGAUCAAGGCUAGGAAAGUAUGGGAAUUCAGGGUUUGUAAUGAUGUAGCUUCAGGGAACAAUUUCAGCUUGCAAAUGCAAUAUAGCUACAAAAAGAA
RNAcentral lists this unclassified non-coding RNA (256 nucleotides) under Hevea brasiliensis (rubber tree). Lineage: Eukaryota; Viridiplantae; Streptophyta; Magnoliopsida; Malpighiales; Euphorbiaceae. The record is from RNAcentral.